GCUCAGUAACACGUGGAUAACAUGCCCUAGAGUGGAGGAUAAUCUCGGGAAAUUGAGGAUAAUACUCCAUAGAUCAUGAAUUCUGGAACGACUCAUGGUCGAAAGUUCCGGCGCUCUAGGAUUGGUCUGCGGCCUAUCAGGUAGUAGUGGGUGUAACGGACCCACUAGCCGACGACGGGUAUGGGCCUUGAGAGAGGGAGCCCAGAGAUGGAAUCUGAGACACGAUUCCAGGCCCUACGGGGCGCAGCAGUCGCGAAAACUUCACAAUGGAGGCAACUCCGAUGAGGGAAUUCCAAGUGCUAGCACAUUAGUGUUAGCUUUUCUUAAGCAUAGAUAACUUAAGGAAUAAGGGCUGGGUAAGACGGGUGCCAGCCGCCGCGGUAAUACCCGCAGCCCAAGUGGUGGUCGAUUUUAUUGAGUCUAAAACGUUCGUAGCCGGUUCAUUAAAUCCUUGGGUAAAUCGGAUGGCUUAACUAUCCGAAUUCCGGGGAGACUGGUGAACUUGGGACCGGGAGAGGCAAGAGGUACUUUUGGGGUAGGGGUAAAAUCCUGUAAUCCUAAAAGGACCACCGGUGGCGAAGGCGUCUUGCUAGAACGGAUCCGACGGUGAGGGACGAAGCCCUGGGUCGCAAACGGGAUUAGAUACCCCGGUAGUCCAGGGUGUAAACGCUGCAGACUUGGUGUUGGGGACCCUUCGGGGGUGUUCAGUGCCGGAGAGAAGUUGUUAAGUCUGCUACUUGGGGAGUACGUCCGCAAGGAUGAAACUUAAAGGAAUUGGCGGGGGAGCACCACAACGCGUGGAGCCUGCGGUUUAAUUGGAUUCAACGCCGGAGAUCUCACCAGCGGCGACAGCAGUAUGAUGACCAGGUUGAUGACUUUGUUUGACAAGCUGAGAGGAGGUGCAUGGCCGCCGUCAGCUCGUACCGUGAGGCGUCCUGUUAAGUCAGGUAACGAGCGAGACCCACGCCCUUAUUUACCAGCACGUACUUUCGGGUAUGGUGGGGACAAUAGGGGGACCGCCAGUGCUAAACUGGAGGAAGGAGUGGACGACGGUAGGUCCGUAUGCCCCGAAUCCGCUGGGCUACACGCGGGCUACAAUGGUUGAGACAAUGGGUUCCGACGCUGAAAGGCGGAGGUAAUCCUUUAAACUUUAUCGUAGUUCGGAUUGAGGGCUGUAACUCGCCCUCAUGAAGCUGGAAUGCGUAGUAAUCGCGUGUCACAAUCGCGCGGUGAAUACGUCCCUGCUCCUUGCACACACCG
This 1260-nucleotide ribosomal RNA is filed under the name uncultured euryarchaeote. RNAcentral describes it as "partial 16S ribosomal RNA". It matches the Rfam family "Archaeal small subunit ribosomal RNA", at positions 88 to 1348 of the family's 1478-position model. The record is from RNAcentral. Lineage: Archaea; Methanobacteriati; Methanobacteriota.